GCGAGCGAAACGGGAAGAGCCCAAACCAACAAGCUUGCUUGUUGGGGUUGUAGGACUCCAAUAUGGUAGUCUGUUAGUAUAGUUGAAGGAUUUGGAAAAUUCCGCUAAAGAGGGUGAAAGCCCCGUAGACGAAAUGCUGACAACACCUAGGAGGAUCCUGAGUACGGCGGAACACGAGAAAUUCCGUCGGAAUCCGCGGGGACCAUCCCGCAAGGCUAAAUACUCCCUAGUGACCGAUAGUGAACCAGUACCGUGAGGGAAAGGUGAAAAGCACCCCGGAAGGGGAGUGAAAUAGAUCCUGAAACCGUGUGCCUACAACAAGUCAAAGCUCGUUAAUGAGUGAUGGCGUGCCUUUUGUAGAAUGAACCGGCGAGUUACGAUUGCAUGCGAGGUUAAGUCGAAGAGACGGAGCCGCAGCGAAAGCGAGUCUGAAUAGGGCGAAUGAGUAUGUAGUCGUAGACCCGAAACCAUGUGAUCUACCCAUGUCCAGGUUGAAGGUGCGGUAAAACGCACUGGAGGACCGAACCCACGUACGUUGAAAAGUGCGGGGAUGAGGUGUGGGUAGCGGAGAAAUUCCAAACGAACUUGGAGAUAGCUGGUUCUCUCCGAAAUAGCUUUAGGGCUAGCCUCGGAAUUGAGAAUGAUGGAGGUAGAGCACU
This 659-nucleotide ribosomal RNA is filed under the name Enterococcus faecalis. RNAcentral describes it as "partial 23S ribosomal RNA". It matches the Rfam family "Bacterial large subunit ribosomal RNA", at positions 249 to 911 of the family's 2925-position model. The record is from RNAcentral. Lineage: Bacteria; Bacillati; Bacillota; Bacilli; Lactobacillales; Enterococcaceae.